This 1585-nucleotide long non-coding RNA is filed under the name Homo sapiens (human). Its description in RNAcentral is "HSALNT0398552". The record is from RNAcentral. Lineage: Eukaryota; Metazoa; Chordata; Mammalia; Primates; Hominidae.
CUGGGAUGCGCAGCCGCAUAAGAGAGCGCGCGGGUCUCCAGAGCCUGAGCUAGUCAGAAGCAACAGUUGCUACUGCGUCCCCCGGACAUUGGGAGAAUCGUUUUCCUUGGGCAGCUGGUUCCAGACCCCCACCAGUCCUCUAGACUCCAGGCCAAUCAGUUGCUAAGGGACGUUCCUCUCUCAACCUGCACUUAUCAACAUUUUAAGCUAUAAAUUCGUCUGCAUUUCUUCAUCGUCUGUCUAUGUAGACCAUGACUCCACGGAGGCAGGGAGCAGAAGAUUUAUACAGAAUUUCUAUUCAUGCAAUGGAAUACCACAGGCGUCCUACAGGAGGAUAAGAACAGUCUAUGCUGUUGCUGCCAAAUGACCUCUGAGAUCCUUCAGGGACCCAGGCGUCCUGGCCCAGCACUCACAGGAGACACUGAGUUGGAUGGUUCUCUCCGUGGUCACACCAGCUCCGGGGAACGUCACUCGACAGAUUGACCCUCAUGGGCCAGAGAUGCCAGAGACUCGCCCAGAGAUGGGAGGAGAUGGAGCAGAAUCUGAGUCUUGCCUUCCAGGAGCACCAGAGCCUGGAUCAGUACCUUCGGGGCCAUCUGAGACAUGCGAACCCCAUGUCUAAAGUCCUUCCACUCUGAGGUGCUUUUCUGUGCACAACUGUUUACACCAGGCAGCUGGUCACUCCAGGCCUGGCCCGAGUCACGGCCUCUUCUUGACCUGUGGGGUGGUUCGUCCUGCAGGAUAUAGGUUUCUGUAGGGUUCAUGUAAGUGUCUGGGGCAGAAGAAAUGAAGAAGGGUCCUAGAUGUGGUGAAGGUGACAGUCAUUCAUUCAUUCAAUUCAUUCAUUCAUUCAUUCACCUAAGCUAUACCGAGCAUCUAUGUGCCAAUGAGGCUGGAGACAAGAAGAGAUGCCACUGACCUGGUCCCUCCCCUUUAGAUACUCCCCAUCCAUAGCCUCAUGUUCACCACACACAAAUACUGUUUGGCUUCACAGCUGUGGAUGCUGGUGACUUUGCCAUAUGUCAUGGUAUCAUAUGAGGUAUUUUUAAGAAGUAUGACUAUGGAUUUUUUCCCCUGGCAGUUAGUACACUGAUUUGCAAUGUUUCAGCGACAUCUCUAAAAUAAGAAACAUGUAGUAUUUUCAUGUAAAACGAAAGCUUCUGUGAACAAGUCCAGAAGAAAUUUCUUUUCCAUUAGUGUUGCCAUUCCCUGCAGUGGGGACAGCAGCAAUUUUUUUAUGGGGCUUACCAUAGAGAUUAGCAUUUUCUUUCAUGUAAAAAUACAUUUCUGAUAAUUAAAUGAGGCCCAAAGACAUAAUGUUUCCAGACAAUAUGAGUUGAAUGUACAGACAAAAUUAAAAUUUAGCUUCAGCUCAUAUGGUUUUUUAUUUUACUCUCUGUGGUACACACCUGGGAGAUCCUCAAUGCCUGAGACAUAUCAGUAUUUGCAACCAUAUACAGGUAAAAUCUCUAUACACAGUAGUAUCUAUAAAAAUGUUCAUUCAUCCUACCUACCAUAGAGAGGUAUUUCCAUCCUCUUUUUAAAUAUAAGGAAGUGAGUCCUCAAUAGAUAAAACAAUAUCUUG